GUAGGUGGCAAGCGUUGUCCGGAAUUAUUGGGCGUAAAGCGCGCGCAGGUGGGUCUUUAAGUCUGAUGUGAAAGCCCCCGGGCUCAACCGGGGAGGGUCAUUGGAAACUGGGGAACUUGAGUGCAGGAGAGGAAAGUGGAAUUCCACGUGUAGCGGUGAAAUGCGUAGAUAUGUGGAGGAACACCAGUGGCGGAGGCGACUUUCUGGCCUGUAACUGACACUGAGGCGCGAAAGCGUGGGGAGCAAACAGGGUUAGAUACCCUGGUAGUCCACGCCGUAAACGAUGAGUGCUAAGUGUUGGGGGGGUUUCCGCCCCUCAGUGCUGCAGCUAACGCAUUAAGCACUCCGCCUGGGGAGUACGGUCGCAAAGACUG
Molecule: ribosomal RNA, 374 nt
Filed under: uncultured organism
Description: partial 16S ribosomal RNA
Rfam family: Bacterial small subunit ribosomal RNA
Source: RNAcentral